UAGGAAGAUUACUUUCUAUAUAUAUUUUUUUUUUCUCUCUUCUUUCUUUAUCUUUUUGAGAAAUCUUUUUUCAUUAAGUGUAAUAUACAAAAUGUGAAUGAGGAUUUGUUGCAAAGGUUAAGUGUGGUAUGAUGUACUUGGCAACAUACAUUACUAAGAGGUUUUGAGGUCUGAUCACCCUCAAAUUUUCUGUAUCUGUUAAGACAGAUAGCUUUCAUUGCUGUAACUGGAAUUUUUGCAUUGUGAUUCUUUAGAAAACAUCCUCUUUCUGUACAUGCAGAAUUUUGGUGAAAUUAGGGGAGGUGAAUGUAACAGAUGUUAUAUCAAUUUAUUAAUUUCACUCAAAAUCUCUCCCAGUAUUUUUAUAUUGAUUUUUGUUAUUUGAGUUGUUUUCUACGCUUAUAAGUUCAUUUUCUUUUGUGUUUGUAGUAAUUGUUAAAAAAAUGGUACACGGCUCCUUUAAAAAUUGAGUUCCGGUCGCUUUCCUAUCAGUUUGCAGUAAACGCAGCUGAAGGAAGCAGGUUGAUGCUAAAAAGGCCACAGAUUGUCUUUUGAUUUUGUUUUUAUUUUUAUUAUCUCAGGUAUGUUUUCCAUCUACGUUUCUCUUCAUAUUAUUGUCUUGAAUUUAUAUAAAAUGUUUUGUUGUGUGGAAAAAUGUUAGUGUUAAAUGUAAAGCUUGUUGAUCAAAUCAUAUGCAGUUCAUCUGAAACUGUAAUAUAAACACGAGUUUGCAGUAAACGCAGCUGAAGGAAGCAGGUUGAUGCUAAAAAGGCCACAGAUUGUCUUUUGAUUUUGUUUUUAUUUUUAUUAUCUCAGAAUAAAAACAAGUGGUCUGAGGGA
Molecule: long non-coding RNA, 840 nt
Organism: Megalobrama amblycephala (Wuchang bream)
Lineage: Eukaryota; Metazoa; Chordata; Actinopteri; Cypriniformes; Xenocyprididae
Exons: 2
Source: RefSeq, a predicted model, not a curated record